This 324-nucleotide ribosomal RNA is filed under the name uncultured Bacillota bacterium. RNAcentral's name for it is "bacterial SSU rRNA". It matches the Rfam family "Bacterial small subunit ribosomal RNA", at positions 28 to 351 of the family's 1533-position model. Lineage: Bacteria; Bacillati; Bacillota. The record is from RNAcentral.
GACGAACGCUGGCGGCGUGCCUAACACAUGCAAGUCGAACGGAGAUAUGAUUUCGGUUGUAUCUUAGUGGCGAACGGGUGAGUAACGCGUGAGCAACCUGACUCUUAGAGGGGGAUAACACUCGGAAACGGGUGCUAAUACCGCAUAAGACCACGACAUGGCAUCAUGACGAGGUCAAAGGAGCAAUCCGCUGAGAGAGGGGCUCGCGUCCCAUUAGAUAGAUGGCGGGGUAAUGGCCCACCAUGUCAGCGAUGGGUAGCCGAGCUGAGAGGCUGAUCGGCCACACUGGAACUGAGACACGGUCCAGACUCCUACGGGUGGCAG